This 76-nucleotide transfer RNA is filed under the name Paludisphaera borealis. RNAcentral describes it as "tRNA-Gln". It matches the Rfam family "tRNA". Rfam says of the family: Transfer RNA (tRNA) molecules are approximately 80 nucleotides in length. Their secondary structure includes four short double-helical elements and three loops (D, anti-codon, and T loops). Lineage: Bacteria; Pseudomonadati; Planctomycetota; Planctomycetia; Isosphaerales; Isosphaeraceae. The record is from RNAcentral.
UCCGGGGCAGUUGCGGUUGGUCGUGACGCCACGCUCUGAACGUGGAGGUCGCUGGUUCGAUUCCAGCCCCCGGAAC